This 312-nucleotide ribosomal RNA is filed under the name Triticum aestivum (bread wheat). Its description in RNAcentral is "partial small subunit ribosomal RNA". The record is from RNAcentral. Lineage: Eukaryota; Viridiplantae; Streptophyta; Magnoliopsida; Poales; Poaceae.
AUGGCGAGCAGGCGGUGGCCAUGGACGCGAAGCAGCACGACGGCAAGCUCGCGGCAGGCUUCUGCAGCCACGGAAGAGGACGAGGCAAGGGGCGUCAGAGCUCCAUGGAUCGGGUGCAGCGCGACGCAGGAGGGAGGACGAGGGAAUUGGGGAUCGGGCGCUGGGAGCUGCGGCCUUGUGCACGAGCGAAGAGAGGGAAGGAGAUGGGGAUCGGGCAGGAGCGCAUACGUGCGUUGGCGGCGCUGUAGGAGGAACGAGCGGAGAUGGGAUCGAGAGGAGAUGGAGGUUGCGGCUGUGCCUUGGGCCGUCUAG